This 217-nucleotide long non-coding RNA is filed under the name Lathyrus oleraceus (garden pea). Its description in RNAcentral is "Pisum sativum (pea) long non-coding RNA (PSAT_LNC010597)". The record is from RNAcentral. Lineage: Eukaryota; Viridiplantae; Streptophyta; Magnoliopsida; Fabales; Fabaceae.
ACUAACUAUUUUAAUUAAGUAUGGAACUUCAGAAAAUUAUUUGGCCAUUCUUCACUCUAAAUCUGCUUUUUACUUCAACGUAAAACUUUUAGCUUUUCUUCUUAGCUUUCCAACGCAUAUUAGAACGCGGCAAUCCGAGGCAUAUAGCCCAAGUUAUAAUCUAAAUAGUGACAAGGUAUCAAAUAACUACUUAUGUUGAAAAUAAAGUACGAAAAUA